Long non-coding RNA from Setaria italica (foxtail millet), 944 nucleotides. RefSeq lists it as uncharacterized. The transcript is spliced from 2 exons. The record is from RefSeq and is a predicted model, not a curated record. NCBI's taxonomy places the organism in Eukaryota, Viridiplantae, Streptophyta, Magnoliopsida, Poales, Poaceae.
CUAUGAUGAUUCAUUGCCUAUACAAGGAACUGCCCCAUACAUGGGGAAGGGGACGAAGCUGCAGGCCAUGCCUCAAGGGCAAAGCUGACUAGCUAUUUCAUCGGCAACACACAGUGCUCUCGCUUUCCACAGUGAUAGUGGGAGGCACUACCAGCCUACCGUCCCCACGUCGUCAGCACCACCACUACUUCUGCCUGCGGCACCAAAUGGGGGAGAGAGGAUAUUCCAUGUCACCGGCCACACACUCCACCCCGCUCAGCUGGGCUACCUCACAGAUCGUGUUGUCGGCGAUCGACACCGGUGAGGGCAGGCCGAACAUCGACAGCGAUCGAUAGGCCGUCGCAGAUUCCCCCGGUUUGAUGUUGUCCCCCUCUAGUGGCUAGCUUGGAGCUGCCCUUUCCCCUCCCUCCACUAGUACCCCUUGCCUCACUUCUGCAUGCACUUGAUGUGUAGUUGGAAAAAAGGAGGUUUUGAUGGUUGCCAAUAUCUUGUCCUAGGUUGAAAGGCCCUCAAAGUGGGGGUUUGUAGGGUUAGAAUUCGAUCGGCAUAGGCCAUGAUGCGCCGAUGAUGGGUAGAGUUGAAGUGAUGAGGCUAGCUAGUAGGAAAGGCACGAAAUUUCUUGUCCUGGAAACUAAAGCAGAUUCCCUGAUGAAUUCUGCUUUGCUGCAGGAUGAUACCUGCGUGUUCCCCCGUGCAAAAGUGUUUAGGCUUUUAUCCGGCUGGCCAAUUGUUGAUCCAACACAUUUGUCAGAAAAACCAUGAUAUAUGAUAGAUGCUGUUGCCUGUUGUUGCAGAUCAAUGGACUUGACUGCGCAUUCUUAGAAUUUGUUUUCAGGAAGCAGGCGUGGCGAUAAACUCAAUACGAAGCAGUUUGCCUGUUGUUAUGAAGAAAGGUUUUCUCCUUUUGCUUCAGAAACGACAUAAAUCGGCUACACAUUUAUUGA